GAUGAACGCUGGCGGCGUGCCUAAUACAUGCAAGUCGAGCGCACGGACGAGAAGCUUGCUUCACUGAUGUUAGCGGCGGACGGGUGAGUAACGCGUGGAUAACCUACCUAUAAGAGUGGGAUAACUUCGGGAAACCGUAGCUAAUACCGGAUAAAAAUUUGAACCACAUGGUUCAAAAUUGAAAGACGCUCUUGCUGUAACUUAUAGAUGUAUCCGCGCUGCAUAGGUUAGUUGGGAAGUUAAGGGCUUACCAAGGCAACGAAUCAUAGCCGACCUGAGAGGGUGAUCGGCCACACUGGAACUGAGACACGGUCCAGACUCCUACGGGAGGCAGCAGUAGGGAAUCUUCCGCAAUGGGCGAAAGCUUGACGGAGCACCGCCGCGUGAGUGAUGAAGGUCUUCGGAUCGUAAAACUCUGUUAUUAGGGAAGAACAUAUGUGUAAGUAACUGUGCACAUCUUGACGGUACCUAAUCAGAAAGCCACGGCUAACUACGUG
RNAcentral lists this ribosomal RNA (497 nucleotides) under uncultured bacterium. RNAcentral describes it as "partial 16S ribosomal RNA". It matches the Rfam family "Bacterial small subunit ribosomal RNA", at positions 28 to 507 of the family's 1533-position model. The record is from RNAcentral.